GGAGUUAGCCGGUGCUUCUUCUGUGAGUGAUGUCCUUCCUGCCGGUUAUUGACCCGCAGGCCUUCUUCCUCACUGAAAGUGCUUUACAACCCGAAGGCCUUCUUCACACACGCGGCAUGGCUGGAUCAGGGUUGCCCCCAUUGUCCAAUAUUCCCCACUGCUGCCUCCCGUAGGAGUCUGGGCCGUGUCUCAGUCCCAGUGUGGCUGAUCAUCCUCUCAGACCAGCUACGGAUCGUCGCCUUGGUGAGCCGUUACCUCACCAACCAGCUAAUCCGACAUAGGCUCAUCCGAUAGCUCGAGGCCCGAAGGUCCCCCGNUUUCCCCCGUAGGGCGUAUGCGGUAUUAGCCUGGGUUUCCCCCAGGUUAUCCCCCGACUACCGGGCAGAUUCCUAUGCAUUACUCACCCGUCCGCCGCUCGCCACCAGGGAGCAAGCUCCCCGUGCUGCCGCUCGACUUGCAUGUGUUAGGCCUGCCGCCAGCGUUCAAUCUGAGCCAGAAUCGAACCCUGA
RNAcentral lists this ribosomal RNA (509 nucleotides) under uncultured bacterium. RNAcentral's name for it is "partial 16S ribosomal RNA". The record is from RNAcentral.